This 394-nucleotide ribosomal RNA is filed under the name uncultured bacterium. Its description in RNAcentral is "partial 16S ribosomal RNA". It matches the Rfam family "Bacterial small subunit ribosomal RNA", at positions 338 to 729 of the family's 1533-position model. The record is from RNAcentral.
CCUACGGGUGGCAGCAGUGAGGAAUAUUGGUCAAUGGGCGCAAGCCUGAACCAGCCAAGUAGCGUGAAGGAAGACUGCCCUACGGGUUGUAAACUUCUUUUAUAAGGGAGUAAAUUGAGGCACGUGUGUCUUUUUGGAGGUACUUUAUGAAUAAAGAUCGGCUAACUCCGUGCCAGCCGCCGCGGUAAUACGGAGGGUCCGAGCGUUAACCGGAUUUAUUGGGUUUAAAGGGAUCGGAGGUGGGUUGAUAAGUUAGGUGUGAAAGUUCGUGGGUCAACCGUAGAACUGCAGUUGAUACUGGCGUACUAGAGUGGAGAAGAGGUAGGCGGAAUUCGUGGUGGAGCGGUGAAAUGCAUAGAUAUCACGAAGAACUCCGAUUGCGAAGGCAGCAUAC